RNAcentral lists this long non-coding RNA (352 nucleotides) under Dermatophagoides pteronyssinus (European house dust mite). RNAcentral describes it as "uncharacterized LOC113793104, transcript variant X2". Lineage: Eukaryota; Metazoa; Arthropoda; Arachnida; Sarcoptiformes; Pyroglyphidae. The record is from RNAcentral.
UUUUGUUUUCGUCUGGAAUAAUAUGCAUCAAUAAUCUGAAGGAUAGAAAAUAAAAAUGCUGAACAUAAUGGUUCCAAAAAUUGACCAAACAUAAACAUUUACUUUCGAUGAUUUUCUUAUUUUCUUUGUUAUUUCUGAUUGUAAACCAUUCUAUCUAAUAUCAAUGUAUCGAUUUGGAAUUAAUUUUCUUUCGCUGUUGUAGUUUCAAGACUGAAUUCUCUUUAUAAUUCAUAGUUCUGCUCUUGUUCAACACUUAUAUAAUGAUUCGAAAACAAACAACACACAAUUAUGAUGUUUCAACAAAUGAAUGAAUAAUGAUGGUUGACACUGUUAUUUGUUUUGUCAACAUUUA